UUAACCAAUCAGAAGAAGAACUUUUGGUCACGUCACUAAUGUGGACGUCUCUGUUCGUAUCCUUUGCCGUCUAAAAUAUCAACGCAAUCCUAAAACCCUAUUCGCCUGGAUACCGUAUUCCUCCAUUAGUUACAUUUACGAACAAAAAAACCAUUCAUCUCCCCCAAUCUCAAUGUAUAUAUAGUCCCACCGAUCCCAAACCUAAUCUAAUGCAUCAAGAAGGCGAUUACCAGCCCAAAACUACCAGAGAAAUCCACCACCAAAGCACCGUUCAAAUCCCUGGUGAAGGCUCCCGCGAAAUAAGUUGCACGGUUGAUUUAAGCAACACCGGUUCCACCUCUUCCAUGGAUACUAAGAAGGCUAGUUCCACCUCCAAGUGAGAUCUAUCAUCUUAUCACAACGAAUGGUAAAUGAAACACCGACCGGUGCAGAUGAAUAAUUAAGCAAAAUAGAUAUGCUCUGGCAUUUCAUACAGUUAAUAACAGUAGCUAAGUUGAGACAGUAGAUGUCGGAACAACAAGCCACUUUGCCGAGCAAGACAGCAAGCAUCCACGGCUGAUGGUAUUUCAUGGGACAUGGAGGAAGAUGCUAUUGAGGAAGGAGAGAAGGAUGUUGAAGAAAUCGUGUAGCAAACGUAUACAGGAGAACUCUCACCAAAGCAAGAAAAAACUUUUGAGGAGAUAUUGAAACUGCUGGAUAAAGAUUGGUCAUAUGAAGAAAGCAAUUACUCCUAUGUGUCUAGUGAGCGGAGAGAAACAAACGCAGCUCGCAUAUUGAGCGGAGAAUCGCCAAGAAUAUAUACGAUAGCUUCUUGAAGAACUUGCGACCCUGCAUUCGAGAAAGUUUGGAUGGGAAAACAUGGAGAGUACCUAACGGUAAGAAGAAAGGAUUUGUAGAAGACGAGGAAGAUUUCACAAGUGAUCCAUGCUUGGUUGCUAAACAUAUAUUUCAUCGUCUUUGAAGGGAAUGAGUUACUGAAAUUUAUGAGAACCCUUACUUGAAAAACACUGUGGUGAAUAAGACAAAUCACAUGAUUGAAGAAGAUGAUUCAAUCCUCGAGAAGGCCAUUGGGUGAUAUUUUUCUUUUCUCAUGUAUUUGCCUUUUUUUUCCUUAAAAAAAUGAUUUACUGAUCCUUAACUAUUGUACAGGACGGAGACUGAGUGGUGUCCUAUAGAAUGUUUGGAUCAGAAGGUCCUUAAAAUAAGCUAAAGAAGGGAUCCAAAAUCACAAAAUCACAAAUCCCAUCACUAAGACUGAGGAGAGGGGGAGUUUCUUCAAUUAUUUCAGUCCACCUCAAGUUCCUGAUGACGAGUAGGAUCCUGAUGUAGACAUGGUAUGGCCUUCCCCAAACUGAGGGCAAAUGGAGCACGACUAUGAUAUCGGGUGAGGCUGUUGCCGCAAACGACCUUGAGAUGGAUGACGUACAAUGAUGAUAAUGCGGAUGAUAUCAACGAAGAAGAGUAUAUAUACAAAUUCAAAUUAAUAUGUCAAGGAAAAUAAAGCAAAGACAUCCCAAGAAGGGGAAAUAAAAGCGAAAGCAUCAAAGCUUUUGCCUUUGUCAUUUGUUCUUUAAGAGACAAAAUACACUAAAAAUAAACUAAUAAAUUGCCUUUUCUUUUCUUAGAAUUAUGCAGCAUGAAAAUCAAGAAAUGGUGUGGUCGUUCUCAUAGAAUGGUUUUAACACUAAAGGAGUAAAGUGAAUUUUGCAUGGAAAGAUAAUUACCAUACCAACUACUGCAGUGGGGUCUCUCCGUUCUAAUAAACAAAAUUGCAUUAAACAGAAUUAGGUACAUAAAUUUGGAUGAACGCACAGGACUAGGAUCAUAUUGACGUACAAGAACAUGGCUCUGUGUA
This is a long non-coding RNA of Brassica rapa (field mustard), 1855 nucleotides long. RefSeq lists it as uncharacterized. The record is from RefSeq and is a predicted model, not a curated record. Lineage: Eukaryota; Viridiplantae; Streptophyta; Magnoliopsida; Brassicales; Brassicaceae.